RNAcentral lists this ribosomal RNA (340 nucleotides) under uncultured soil bacterium. RNAcentral describes it as "bacterial SSU rRNA". It matches the Rfam family "Bacterial small subunit ribosomal RNA", at positions 158 to 493 of the family's 1533-position model. The record is from RNAcentral.
UAAGGUUAAUACCGCAUACGAAAUUCUGGUUGAAAGCGGGGAUCGCAAGACUUCGCGCGAUUGGAGCGGCCGAUGGCAGAUUAGGUAGUUGGUGGGGUAAAGGCUUACCAAGCCGACGAUCUGUAGCUGGUCUGAGAGGACGACCAGCCACACUGGGACUGAGACACGGCCCAGACUCCUACGGGAGGCAGCAGUGGGGAAUUUUGGACAAUGGGCGCAAGCCUGAUCCAGCCAUUCCGCGUGCAGGAUGAAGGCCCUCGGGUUGUAAACUGCUUUUGUACGGAACGAAAAGGUUCUGGUUAAUACCCGGAGCUGAUGACGGUACCGUAAGAAUAAGCAC